Harpegnathos saltator (Jerdon's jumping ant) is the source of this 73-nucleotide non-coding RNA. The record is from Rfam. Lineage: Eukaryota; Metazoa; Arthropoda; Insecta; Hymenoptera; Formicidae.
CGUCAGGUAGCUCAGUAGUUUAAAGCAGUUGCCCGGAAAGCGAAAGACCCGGGUUCGAUUCCCGGUCGAGCGA